RNAcentral lists this transfer RNA (89 nucleotides) under Siphoviridae sp. ctBWu8. Its description in RNAcentral is "tRNA-Ser". It matches the Rfam family "tRNA". Rfam says of the family: Transfer RNA (tRNA) molecules are approximately 80 nucleotides in length. Their secondary structure includes four short double-helical elements and three loops (D, anti-codon, and T loops). Further hydrogen bonds mediate the characteristic L-shaped molecular structure. tRNAs have two regions of fundamental functional importance: the anti-codon, which is responsible for specific mRNA codon recognition, and the 3' end, to which the tRNAs corresponding amino acid is attached (by aminoacyl-tRNA synthetases). tRNAs cope with the degeneracy of the genetic code in two manners: having more than one tRNA (with a specific anti-codon) for a particular amino acid; and 'wobble' base-pairing, i.e. permitting non-standard base-pairing at the 3rd anti-codon position. Lineage: Duplodnaviria; Heunggongvirae; Uroviricota; Caudoviricetes. The record is from RNAcentral.
GGAGAGUUAGUUCUAAUUGGUAAGUCGGAAGAUUGCUAAUCUUCUGGUCGGUGUAAAUCGGCUUGUGGGUUCGAGUCCCACACUCUCCG